AAACACAAGAUGGGAAGAUGGGGGGCGUGAAGGAUGAAGACCUAGGGCAGAGCCUGAGUUGUCUAGGGGAGCAAAAAUCUGCCCCCAGGACUGUCUGAGUCCACACUGGCUGCUCGGCUCAUGGUGCAGGUGUGUGGGAGCCCUCCUCCACAUGGUCUCCACAGCAACCCGCCACUCUAAUCUGCUGAAUAUGAAAAGAAGAAACAGAAAGAGAAAAGCCAUCCACCCCCUUCUGCUCCAUCCAUGAGUCCAAAAGAAGGAUAUCGUCUCCAAGCAUUCCUGAUAAUCCCCCAGCCAUUGCCCUGGCAACAGUCACAGGGAGCUGGCAUGGCCUGUGGAGAAAGCAAUCCCUGUCUCUAGCUCGGGCGGCUUCCUCCUCCUCCUCUUCUCUCACCACGGAUCUCCUAUUAGCCCCUAACAAUUGUGCACCCCACUUUUGGCCCACUGCCUCAUGCCCUCCAGCCUGCCAGCGGAUCACUGACACAGAGAAUACAGAAAUCCAUAUACUUUUCUCCUAAUGGUACUGAAAUGAUACUUUCAUGCAUGCAUAGAUGCUUCUAAGUAUGUAUAGAUGUGAUUGUGUGUGUGUGUGUGUGCUUGUGUAUAGAUUUGAAAGACUCUUCACCUCUAGUUCCCCUGCAGAUGAACUGUGUUUACAUGCUGAAUGAAGAAGUGGAGACUAUUUCUUAUCAAAGCUAAGAGUUUGGAAAAGCCACCGCUUACAACUCCCGUUCUCUCAGCUGAGCUGGCUGAGGAGGUUUGCAGAGCCCUUUGCUCUGAGCCUCAUACCCAGCAGUGAAAGCUCUCAUUUGUCUUAAGGCCAUCAUGUUGAUGCAGCUGGCUUUGACACUGCUUACCUCAGCAUUUUUUUUUUUUUUUUUUUUUUUUUUGGUUGGUUGAAAGACAGAAGGCUUCCUUGUGAUCCCAGCCUUUUCCUAUCAAAUGACACUCAGCCUGGGUUUGGGUGACUUAUUUACUGGCACUAGACCAGUAAAAACAAAAAUGAACGUUCGCAACUAAUAAAUCCUCUUGCUUAGAUAGCUAGAGCCACAGUGGUGGGAUUACACCAGAAUGCUCGGCCGUUACUGGAGGGCUCCCAGGCUGUGCGGAACCUAAUAAGUCAGAAGAGGAAAAGGGACCAAAUCAAGGAGCAGAGAAAUUACGUGCAGUGUGGGUUUUGGACAAUGAAAAGCUUUGAUCUUCACUCUACUAUGUGCUUUCCGGGUUGGAGAUUCUAGAGGCAGAAAUACGGUACACUGAGUUUGCGUCAUCGCGAGGAGCCUGCUAAGCUUGCCACCUUGACCUUCCUUUCUUGAAAAAAAUCAAACCAUACUCAUCUUCAGUAAGAUGAAAAAGACCAGCUAAGAUUAUGGACAGCACAAUCACAGCUUUUCAGAGAACUGAAAGGAGCUAUUUUUAUAGAGGGCAUGAGGUCAAGAAUGUUUAGCAAACAAAUUGAAUGUCAUCUACUCCCAGAAAAUUCUCUAAGGACCUUCCUUCUCCCAGGCCCUUGUGGAAAGUGAGGGCACCUCUGAGAGGCGGGUGAAAUGAUGUUUUUGCUUGUUUCAGAAUUGAUCUUUGCUAUAGAAAAACAUUUUAUGUUAAUAUAAAUCCAGAAGAAUACCACCAUAAAAUAAUGACACCAACCAAAGCUUUCCUUCUUCCACAACUAUUUCUAAUUCUCUGAGCACCCACACUUCCUUUAAGGUUAGGUCUGUUGGGGCAGCUACCAUUGUGUCACAGUGGAAAACUUCCCCAUAGGAUUUAACCUGAUGGAACAAAAUAGAGAUUAAAAAGCAGAGAAAAUUUUGUUAAAUGUAACUCAAAUGCCCUUUGUACAUCCUAAUAGGCAUUUGACUAUUUGGAAAGAUGACUGACAGCCAUUGAUUUCUCUGUUCCUUUUUAAUUUUGUCUUUGUUUUCAUGACUAAGAGACUACCACAAAGGAUAUUUACUGGUGAUAUAUUAGACCACAGCCACCCAGCAGUUCUACUUGUUUGUAUAAUUCCUUUAAUUUAUGUUGUUUCCACUGUCAUCCUGUUUAGCUGUGAUGUCCCCUCAGUACAAAGAAGAUACCUAUAAUGAGUGGACAAUGUGAGCCAUGUUCUCUCAAAGCACCCAAUGAAAGAAGACAUUACAACUCUUUCAGAGCUCUGCGAGAUUAUUAUGUCUGAUGGCUUUGACAGAGCCAUCCUUAAAGGUAAAACCAGAUGAAUCAAAUGGCCAUAGACUAGUUCAGUCAUCUCAUUGUAAAGCUUUUAGAAUGCUUGCUGUCCACCAAUGAAGCAGCUGCUUUAAAUGCUUUCAUAAGUCUUCAGGGUUAAAAUGUAAUGUCUCUGUGAUUGAACAUAGUUAAACACUCCUGCCCUCUCCAUGGUGAGAGAGAGAGAGAGAGAGAGAGAGAGAGAGAGAGAGAGAGAGAGAGAGAGAGAGAGAGAGAGAGAGAAAUAUGUAUACUCUCUACUCAUUGUCUCUAAGGAGAAUCCAAUACUGUUUAUGUGUGCUGUGUGUGUGUGUAUGCAUGUGUUUAUGUGUGGGUGGUACAUGCACAUGAAUAUGCACAUCCAUGUGUAUGCAUGCAGAAUCCGGAGAAGGACAUAAUAUAUCUUCCUUUUCCUGAGACUUGGGCUCUCACUGGACAGAAAGUGUGCCUGCCAUUUUUAUUAGUUUUUACCUGGGUGCUGGAUUUAACUCAGAUCCUCGUGUUUACAAAGCAUGUACUCUUAACUACUGAGCUAUCUCCCCAGUCCCAAGGACCAAUUAUCAUCUGACUAUUUAAAUACUUGGGAAAUGGACUAUCAUGAAUUCAAAUAAUCUUUAAAUCUUGUG
RNAcentral lists this long non-coding RNA (2828 nucleotides) under Mus pahari (shrew mouse). RNAcentral describes it as "predicted gene 11412 (MGP_PahariEiJ_G0006184.1)". Lineage: Eukaryota; Metazoa; Chordata; Mammalia; Rodentia; Muridae. The record is from RNAcentral.